This 600-nucleotide ribosomal RNA is filed under the name uncultured bacterium. RNAcentral's name for it is "bacterial SSU rRNA". It matches the Rfam family "Bacterial small subunit ribosomal RNA", at positions 95 to 729 of the family's 1533-position model. The record is from RNAcentral.
AUGACGUAGGUGCGUACACGUGCAUCUGCCUCAAGAAAUAGUCGGAAAUCGAUUAUCUCCUAAAUGGGUGGUUACACACGUUUAAUUCCCGAGUUGAGGAUACAUGGCAUGAUUAGUAGUGGGGUAAGGCACAGGGAUGAUCAUAGGGACUGAAGGUUGAUCCCAAUGGACUGAGAUACGGGCCAAAUUCCUACGGGAGGCAGCAGUAGGGAAUAUUGGACAAUGGGUGCAAGCCUGAUCCAGCCAUGCCGCGUGCAGGAAGAAGGCCUUCUGGGUUGUAAACUGCUUUGCCAGGGGAUAAACGACCGUGCGCGGUUAAUUGAGGUACUGGUGAAUAGCCACGGUUAACUACGUGCAGCAGCCGGGUAAUACGUAAGUGGCAAGCGUUGUCCGGAUUCAUGGGUUAAGGGUGCGUAGGCGGCCUGGUUAAGUCCAGUGGGUUGAAAUUACGGGGAAGCUCAAACCGGUCCGAGGGUGCCAUUUGAUACUGGGGACUUGAAGUACCUGGAUGAGGGUAAGGGCGGAAUGGACCGGUGUUCAGCGGUGAAAUGGUUAGAUUUUCGGUCCCAGAAAAACACCGAUNGCGAAAGGCAGGUUUAC